Molecule: ribosomal RNA, 520 nt
Filed under: uncultured Glomus
Lineage: Eukaryota; Fungi; Glomeromycota; Glomeromycetes; Glomerales; Glomeraceae
Description: SSU rRNA
Rfam family: Eukaryotic small subunit ribosomal RNA
Source: RNAcentral
AGCAGCCGCGGUAAUUCCAGCUCCAAUAGCGUAUAUUAAAGUUGUUGCAGUUAAAAAAGCUCGUAGUUGAAUUUCGGGAUCGAUACGUCGGUCGUGCCUUCGGUACGCACUGGCGUUUAUCGAUUUCUCCCUUCUGACGAACCAUGAUGUCAUUAAUUUGGUGUUAUGGGGAAUCAGGACUGUUACUUUGAAAAAAAUUAGAGUGUUUAAAGCAGGCAUUAGCUUGAAUACAUUAGCAUGGAAUAAUGAAAUAGGACGUUUGAUUCUAUUUUGUUGGUUUCUAGGAUCGACGUAAUGAUUAAUAGGGAUAGUUGGGGGCAUUAGUAUUCAAUUGUCAGAGGUGAAAUUCUUGGAUUUUAUUGAAGACUAACUACUGCGAAAGCAUUUGCCAAGGAUGUUUUCAUUAAUCAAGAACGAAAGUUAAGGGGAUCGAAGACGAUCAGAUACCGUCGUAGUCUUAACCUAUAAACUAAUGCCGACUAGGGAUCGGAUGAUGUUAAUUUUUUAAUUGUACUCUACU